RNAcentral lists this ribosomal RNA (407 nucleotides) under uncultured bacterium. RNAcentral's name for it is "partial 16S ribosomal RNA". It matches the Rfam family "Bacterial small subunit ribosomal RNA", at positions 29 to 526 of the family's 1533-position model. The record is from RNAcentral.
AUUGAACGCUGGCGGCAGGCCUAACACAUGCAAGUCGAGCGGAGCGGCGGACGGGUGAGUAAUGCCUAGGAAUCUGCCUGGUAGUGGGGGAUAACGUCCGGAAACGGGCGCUAAUACCGCAUACUAUCAGAUGAGCCUAGGUCGGAUUAGCUAGUUGGUGGGGUAAAGGCCUACCAAGGCGACGAUCCGUAACUGGUCUGAGAGGAUGAUCAGUCACACUGGAACGGAGACACGGUCAGGAGUCCUACGGUAGGCAGCAGUGGGGAUGAUUGGAAAAUGGGCGAAAUCCUGAUCCAGCCAUGCGGCGGGUGGGAAGAAGGUCUUCGGAGUGUAAAGCACUUUAAGUUGGGAGGCGGUACCAAAAGAAUAAGCACCGGCUAACUUCGGGCCAGCAGCAGCGGUAAUAC